Molecule: ribosomal RNA, 253 nt
Filed under: uncultured bacterium
Lineage: Bacteria
Description: partial 16S ribosomal RNA
Rfam family: Bacterial small subunit ribosomal RNA
Source: RNAcentral
UACGUAGGGUGCAAGCGUUGUCCGGAAUUAUUGGGCGUAAAGAGCUCGUAGGCGGUCUGUCGCGUCUGCUGUGAAAACUCGGGGCUUAACCCCGGGCCUGCAGUGGGUACGGGCAGACUAGAGUGCGGUAGGGGAGACUGGAAUUCCUGGUGUAGCGGUGAAAUGCGCAGAUAUCGUAAGGAACGCCAGUGGCGAAAGCGAGUCUCUGGGCAGCAUCUGACACUGAGGCACGAAGGCCAGGGGAGCAAACGGG